GACCACUUCCGAUAUCUUCCAGGAUAUCCAGU
RNAcentral lists this non-coding RNA (32 nucleotides) under Mus musculus (house mouse). The record is from RNAcentral. Lineage: Eukaryota; Metazoa; Chordata; Mammalia; Rodentia; Muridae.